RNAcentral lists this ribosomal RNA (485 nucleotides) under uncultured bacterium. Its description in RNAcentral is "bacterial SSU rRNA". It matches the Rfam family "Bacterial small subunit ribosomal RNA", at positions 30 to 507 of the family's 1533-position model. The record is from RNAcentral.
AUUGAACGCUGGCGGCAGGCCUAACACAUGCAAGUCGAGCGGAUGAGUGGAGCUUGCUCCAUGAUUCAGCGGCGGACGGGUGAGUAAUGCCUAGGAAUCUGCCUGGUAGUGGGGGACAACGUUUCGAAAGGAACGCUAAUACCGCAUACGUCCUACGGGAGAAAGUGGGGGGAUCUUCGGACCUCACGCUAUCAGAUGAGCCUAGGUCGGAUUAGCUAGUUGGUGAGGUAAAGGCUCACCAAGGCGACGAUCCGUAACUGGUCUGAGAGGAUGAUCAGUCACACUGGAACUGAGACACGGUCCAGACUCCUACGGGAGGCAGCAGUGGGGAAUAUUGGACAAUGGGCGAAAGCCUGAUCCAGCCAUGCCGCGUGUGUGAAGAAGGUCUUCGGAUUGUAAAGCACUUUAAGUUGGGAGGAAGGGCAGUAAGUUAAUACCUUGCUGUUUUGACGUUACCAACAGAAUAAGCACCGGCUAACUUCGUG